GAGCUCUGCCAGUUUCUGGCCUCAAGUAACUCUGUAGCAGUCAUCGACGGUCCUGAGUUGUUAUCGCAAGUCCAGGAAGAAUGAGGUUACUCAGGCAACUGGAGGGUGAGGAUGGAGAAGAGCUUUAUUGAGCAACAGAACAGCUCUCAGCAGAGAGGAGACCCAAAGUGGGUAGCUCCUACCUGCAGGAAGGUAAUCCCAAUGUGUGUCUGAGUCCUGCUGAGUCUAGGGGUUAUUAUAGGUGCAGAAUGGAGGAAGUGCAUGCUGAUUGGUCCAUGAGUGGGAGGAAGUGCAUGCUG
This 299-nucleotide long non-coding RNA is filed under the name Homo sapiens (human). RNAcentral describes it as "HSALNT0263835". Lineage: Eukaryota; Metazoa; Chordata; Mammalia; Primates; Hominidae. The record is from RNAcentral.